RNAcentral lists this ribosomal RNA (519 nucleotides) under uncultured bacterium. RNAcentral's name for it is "bacterial SSU rRNA". It matches the Rfam family "Bacterial small subunit ribosomal RNA", at positions 8 to 526 of the family's 1533-position model. The record is from RNAcentral.
AGAGUUUGAUCCUGGCUCAGGACGAACGCUGGCGGCGUGCUUAACACAUGCAAGUCGAGCGGAAAGGCCCACUUGUGGGUACUCGAGCGGCGAACGGGUGAGUAACACGUGAGUAAUCUGCCCUUCACUUGGGGAUAACGUCCAGAAAUGGGUGCUAAUACCCGGUACUCCCAGGUCCACGCAUGUGGGUGUGGGGAAAGGUUUUUCUGGUGGGGGAUGUGCUCGCGGCCUAUCAGCUUGUUGGUGGGGUAAUGGCCUACCAAGGCUUUGACGGGUAGCCGGCCUGAGAGGGUGACCGGCCACACUGGGACUGAGACACGGCCCAGACUCCUACGGGAGGCAGCAGUGGGGAAUAUUGGACAAUGGGCGGAAGCCUGAUCCAGCAACGCCGCGUGAGGGAUGACGGCCUUCGGGUUGUAAACCUCUUUCACCAUUGACGAAGCUGCAUCUUUUUGGGUGUGGUGACGGUAGGUGGGGAAGAAGCACCGGCCAACUACGUGCCAGCAGCCGCGGUAAUUC